This 245-nucleotide ribosomal RNA is filed under the name uncultured bacterium. RNAcentral describes it as "partial 16S rRNA". It matches the Rfam family "Bacterial small subunit ribosomal RNA", at positions 505 to 749 of the family's 1533-position model. The record is from RNAcentral.
GUGUCAGCCGCCGCGGUAAUACGUAGGUGGCAAGCGUUAUCCGGAAUUAUUGGGCGUAAAGCGCGCGCAGGCGGUUCCUUAAGUCUGAUGUGAAAGCCCACGGCUUAACCGGGGAGGGUCAUUGGAAACUGGGGAACUUGAGUGCAGAAGAGAAAAGCGGAAUUCCAGGUGUAGUGGUGAAAUGCGUAGAGAUCUGGAGGAACACCAGUGGCGAAGGCGGCUUUCUGGGCUGUAACUGACGCUGA